ACUCAAACAACAAGAGGUUGCCUUCUGUUCAGCCUUAGUCUGAGGCUUACUGUAGGCUGUUAUGUAAUGUGGAGAUGGUUUUGCUCAGACAAACUUUAUUACCAGUACCAAUGAGCGGAACCGUGAAUUCUGAGUCACUGUAGCUGACAUCACAGAACUCCAGCUGCUCUGUGUACUGUAUCCUUUUCCACCUUUGUCCUUAAAAGCUAUUGGAGCCCAUAUUAAAAAAAAUGCUGCUGUGUACUUAGAGAGUAACUCUUACUUCGAGUGAUUCUUUUACCUGAUAAGGCAUUUGGAUAUUUAUUCCUCUAACUCGACUCCAAUCCCCCUAUCUUUUUCAUGUUUGCCCAGGUAAAGAGGAAAAUCUCCAAUCCACUCCCAUCUGUUUGCCUCAUCCAGCAGAGCUUCCAGGCCACAGAAUGCUCACGACUACAAUACAAUUCCUGAGACUGCCAAGACCUUGGGUCCGUAUAACACAUGUGCCCAGUACCCAAGGAAGUCAGAAGAGGACAUCAGAACCCCUGGACUGGCAUUGCAGACAGUCCUUUUUCAUCACCAGUGCUGGGAACUGAACCUCAGUCCUCUGAAAGAGUAGCUAGUGCUCUUAACUGCUGAGACAUCUCUCCAGCCCCCAGAAGACCACGAGAGAAUGCCUACAAGUCACAAAGUGAAAGGCAUCUCUGCUCCUGGUUUGACACUUACAGUCUAGAAAGUUUCCAUGUGUGAUGAACAGGACCUCUGUCUCCCCUUGGGAGCUUUAAGCGAGCUGUGGUAGACCACAGGAACCAAUGGAAAUACCUCAUCCUAUUUAUGCUGGAUCACAUUUCACCAUUUCUGACAGAUGCAGCCUUUGGGGAAGAAUAUUAACGACCAUGGGGGACACAGUAGUUGUUUGGAGACACCCGAAAUAAAUAGCCAAGAACUAUUUC
Molecule: long non-coding RNA, 929 nt
Filed under: Mus caroli (Ryukyu mouse)
Lineage: Eukaryota; Metazoa; Chordata; Mammalia; Rodentia; Muridae
Description: lncRNA (MGP_CAROLIEiJ_G0006290.1)
Source: RNAcentral